UCCUACGGGGGCAGCAGUGAGGAAUAUUGGUCAAUGGGCGGGAGCCUGAACCAGCCAAGUCGCGUGAGGGAAGACGGUCCUAUGGAUUGUAAACCUCUUUAGGCGGGGAGCAAUGCCGGGCACGUGUGCCCGGAGGGAGAGUACCCGCAGAAUAAGCAUCGGCUAACUCCGUGCCAGCAGCCGCGGUAAUACGGCGGAUGCGAGCGUUAUCCGGAUUUAUUGGGUUUAAAGGGUGCGUAGGCGGAUUUUUAAGUCAGCGGUAAAAUGUCCGGGCUCAACCCGCGCCGGCCGUUGAAUCUGGGGGU
This 305-nucleotide ribosomal RNA is filed under the name uncultured bacterium. RNAcentral describes it as "bacterial SSU rRNA". It matches the Rfam family "Bacterial small subunit ribosomal RNA", at positions 337 to 640 of the family's 1533-position model. The record is from RNAcentral.